UUUCGAAAGUAAAUAGAUUAUACCAGAGUACUAUGAAUAUUAAUUUAAAACUCAAAGAACUUGGCGGUGCUUUAGACUUCUUAGGGGAAUCUGUCUCGUAAUCGACAACCCACGAAAAACCUAACUUUUUUUAGCUUCCAGUAUGUAUACCGCCGUCGUCAGGUAACUUUUUAGAAAAUAAAGGUUAACAAUAAAUAUUACUAAUAUUAAACGUCAGGUCAAGGUGCAACUUAUAAAAAAGGGAAGAUGGAUUACAAUUAAGAAUCAUAAUUACGAAUAUUAGAUAUAAUUUGUCUUAUUGAAGGAGGACUUAAAAGUAAAAAUUUUAUUAUAUAAAAUUUUUGAAUAUAGCUCUGAAGCGUGC
Molecule: ribosomal RNA, 364 nt
Filed under: Ataxocerithium sp. Aust. Mus. C203217
Lineage: Eukaryota; Metazoa; Mollusca; Gastropoda; Cerithiopsidae
Description: partial 12S ribosomal RNA
Source: RNAcentral